UACGUAGGGUGCAAGCGUUGUCCGGAAUUAUUGGGCGUAAAGAGCUCGUAGGCGGUUUGUCGCGUCUGCUGUGAAAACGCGGGGCUCAACUCCGCGCCUGCAGUGGGUACGGGCAGGCUAGAGUGCAGUAGGGGAGACUGGAAUUCCUGGUGUAGCGGUGGAAUGCGCAGAUAUCAGGAGGAACACCGAUGGCGAAGGCAGAUCUCUGGGCCGUAACUGACGCUGAGGAGCGAAAGCAUGGGGAGCGAACAGG
This 253-nucleotide ribosomal RNA is filed under the name uncultured bacterium. Its description in RNAcentral is "partial 16S ribosomal RNA". It matches the Rfam family "Bacterial small subunit ribosomal RNA", at positions 524 to 776 of the family's 1533-position model. The record is from RNAcentral.